CCGUUACUGUUGCUAAUAUGCAACUCUGUUCACACAGCUGGAAUUGCACUUUAGCAAUGGUGACGG
Molecule: microRNA precursor, 66 nt
Organism: Pteropus vampyrus (large flying fox)
Lineage: Eukaryota; Metazoa; Chordata; Mammalia; Chiroptera; Pteropodidae
Gene: MIR367
Product: microRNA 367
Source: Ensembl